This 557-nucleotide ribosomal RNA is filed under the name Talaromyces sp. Its description in RNAcentral is "LSU rRNA". It matches the Rfam family "Eukaryotic large subunit ribosomal RNA", at positions 38 to 598 of the family's 3401-position model. Lineage: Eukaryota; Fungi; Ascomycota; Eurotiomycetes; Eurotiales; Trichocomaceae. The record is from RNAcentral.
GCAUAUCAAUAAGCGGAGGAAAAGAAACCAACCGGGAUUGCCUCAGUAACGGCGAGUGAAGCGGCAAGAGCUCAAAUUUGAAAUCUGGCCCCUUGGGGGUCCGAGUUGUAAUUUGGAGAGGAUGCUUCGGGUGCGGCCCCUGUCUAAGUGCCCUGGAACGGGCCGUCAUAGAGGGUGAGAAUCCCGUCUGGGAUGGGCGGCCGUGCCCGUGUGAAGCUCCUUCGACGAGUCGAGUUGUUUGGGAAUGCAGCUCUAAGCGGGUGGUAAAUUUCAUCUAAAGCUAAAUACUGGCCGGAGACCGAUAGCGCACAAGUAGAGUGAUCGAAAGAUGAAAAGCACUUUGAAAAGAGAGUUAAACAGCACGUGAAAUUGUUGAAAGGGAAGCGUUGGCCACCAGACGCGCCCGAGGGGGUUCAGCCGGCACUUGUGCCGGUGCACUCCCCCCCGGGUGGGCCAGCAUCGGUUUGGGCGGUCGCUGAAAGGCCCCAGGAAUGUAGCACCCUCCGGGGUGCCUUAUAGCCUGGGGUGUCAUGCGGCCCGCCUGGACCGAGGCCCGC